GCGAAAGCCAGGCCCUCAUAUUUUGUUGGUAAUGAUCUCUUCCGUAGGGGUGACCUGCGGAGGGAUCAUUACACAACAAAAUAUGAAGGCCUGGCUUUCGCGGCCGGCUGAAGUAUUUUUUUCACCCAUGUCUUUUGCGCACUUGUUGUUUCCUGGGCGGGUUCGCCCGCCACCAGGACCAAACCAUAAACCUUUUUUUCUUAUGCAGUUUCCAUCAGCGUCAGUAAAAACAAUGUAAUUAUUACAACUUUCAACAACGGAUCUCUUGGUUCUGGCAUCGAUGAAGAACGCAGCGAAAUGCGAUACGUAGUGUGAAUUGCAGAAUUCAGUGAAUCAUCGAAUCUUUGAACGCACAUUGCGCCCUUUGGUAUUCCAAAGGGCAUGCCUGUUCGAGCGUCAUUUGUACCUUCAAGCUUUGCUUGGUGUUGGGCGUUUUUUUGUCUCCCUCUUUCUGGGAGACUCGCCUUAAAACGAUUGGCAGCCGGCCUACUGGUUUCGGAGCGCAGCACAUUUUUUGCGCUUUGUAUCAGGAGAAAAGGACGGUACUCCAUCAAGACUCUACAUUUUUCACUUUUGACCUCGGA
RNAcentral lists this ribosomal RNA (584 nucleotides) under Bipolaris oryzae. RNAcentral's name for it is "eukaryotic LSU rRNA". The stretch from base 246 to 399 matches the Rfam family "5.8S ribosomal RNA". The record is from RNAcentral. Lineage: Eukaryota; Fungi; Ascomycota; Dothideomycetes; Pleosporales; Pleosporaceae.